Long non-coding RNA from Triticum aestivum (bread wheat), 374 nucleotides. RefSeq lists it as uncharacterized. The record is from RefSeq and is a predicted model, not a curated record. Lineage: Eukaryota; Viridiplantae; Streptophyta; Magnoliopsida; Poales; Poaceae. The transcript has 2 exons.
CAACAAUCUCUCGAUAGGAGGACUCACUUCUAUGGCGAAGCUUACGAUGAACGGAAGCAGGGUGGUCGUGCUUAUGAUAGUUAUCCUCGCAUGUACCACGAUUCAUUCGCAGUGUCGAUCAGUUGAACAAAUGAACAACAACAAGGUCCAAAUGUGCACAUGCUCACGGGUAAAUGCAGUUUACUGCUGCGACCUAGGAGGUGAUUGCUUUCCAACGAUAGAACAAUGCCAAAAAGGUUGCGCUCCUGGAUGCAAGCGAUCUCAUACCUUGACAGAGCCAUGAGCAACCAUUACAUAUGAUUUAUGAUGAGAAAUAAUGUCAUGACCAUCUUGUAAUAAAAUUAUGAGAUGUGAUCUAUGUUAGUGAUUUCUUA